This 253-nucleotide ribosomal RNA is filed under the name uncultured bacterium. Its description in RNAcentral is "partial 16S ribosomal RNA". It matches the Rfam family "Bacterial small subunit ribosomal RNA", at positions 524 to 776 of the family's 1533-position model. The record is from RNAcentral.
UACGUAGGGACCAAGCGUUGUUCGGAUUUACUGGGCGUAAAGGGCGCGUAGGCGGCGCGGUAAGUCACUUGUGAAGUCUCUGAGCUUAACUCAGAACGGCCAAGUGAUACUGCAGUGCUAGAGUGUGGAAGGGGCAAUCGGAAUUCUUGGUGUAGCGGUGAAAUGCGUAGAUAUCCGGAAGAACACGGGUGGCGAAGGCGGUCUGCUGGGCAGUAGCUGACACUGAGGCGCGACAGCGUGGGGAGCAAACAGG